CGUGCCCAAGGCCCCAUAAGCUGGCACCAGAACUUCGCAGUUUCUGGUGAACGUGUCUGACCUCUCCUACUGGACCAAACACUCCCUCAGAGCAGGAUGCCUCCUGCCCAUAUGGUACUGAAAACUGUGGCACUGGAAUAGAACUGAGAGCCCAGAAAUAAACCCAUACAUCCGUGGUCAACUGACUUUCAACAAGGAUGCCGAGACCAUACGACGGAGAAAGAACAGUCCUUCCAACAACAUCUGCUGGGACAAGUGCAGAGCCACCUGCAGAAGGAUGACGUGGACCCUGACAUCACACCAUUGCAAAAUUUAACUCAAACGGAUCAAAACCUAAUGCAAGAGCUAAAACUAUGAAAUUCGUAUAAGGAAUGUCAGGGUAAAUUUUCAUGACUUCAGAUUUGGCAGUGAUUUCUUAGAGGACACCAAAAAAUAGGUGUCAUCUACAUUUUGGUGUCAUCUAAGAUUUGGCAAUGAUUUCUUAGAUGACACCAUACACACCAAAAGAAAAAAGAGACAAAUUGGAUUUUUUAUCAUAAUUUUUUUGAGACGGGGUAAUGCCGUGCUGUUUAGGUUCAUCUCAAACUCCUGGGCUCAAGUUGUCCUCCCACCUCGGCCCCCCAGAUAGCUGAGAUGACAGGCAUACACCACUGUGCCUGGCUGACUUUAUCGUAAUUUGUAAAUCUGUCAUAAUUUACAACUUUGUCCAUCAAAGGACACUAUCGAGAAGGUGAAAAGACAGCCCAUAGAAUGGGAGAAGAUAUUUGCAAACCAUAUAUCUCAUAAGGGUCUAGUAUCUACACUAUAUAAAUAAUUCUCACAACUCAACAACAAAAUGACAAUUCCAUUUAAACAUGGGCAAAGGAUUUGAAAAGACAUUUCCCCAAAGAAGAUACGCAAAUGCCCAAAAAUCACAUGAAAAAAGACUCAAUAUUGUUAACCAUCAGGAAAAUACAAAUCAAAACCACCAUGAGAUACCACUUCACAUCCACUAGGAUGGCUACACUAAAAAAUAUGAAAAAUAACAAGUGUUCGUGAGGAUGUGGAGAAACUGGAACACUUGUAUCUUGUUGGUGGGAAUGGAGAUGGUGCAGCCACUAUGGAAGACAGUUUAGUUCCUCAACAAGUUAACACACAAUUAUCAUCUGACCCAACAAUUUCGCUCCCAGGUAUAGACCCAAAAGAAUUGAAAGCAAGUGUUCAAAUUAAAACCUGUACACCAAUGCUCAUAGCAGCACCAUUCACAAUAGCCAAAGGGGGAAACAACUCAAAUGUCCAUCAACUGGGAAAAGGACAAACAAAAUAUGGUGUAUCCACACAAAAGGAUAUUAUUUGGCUAUAAAAAGGAAUGAAGUAUCGAUUCAUGCUACAACACAGACAAACCUUGAAAAUCUGUUAAAAGAAGCCAGUCACAAAAAACCACAUAUAUGAUCCCAUUUAUGUAAAAUGUUCAGAAUAGACAAAUUUAUAGAGACAGAAAGUAGAUUAGUGGUUGCCUAGGGCUUGUUGGGGUCAGGGAAGGGGGACAGCAAAAGGGAAUAGGGUUUCUGUAUGUGGUGAUGAUUGGUGAUGGUGAUUAGAAGGUCAUCCAUGACAUCCCCCAUUACUCUGGUGAAUGAAGACCAUCUAUCCCAAAUUAAUAUGUUAUUAAUUUAUUCUCCUCAUAGAGAAUUUAUAGAGUCUCAUUGACCAACCAGCCAGACAUGAUGCUAAUCUGGGUUCCAAAAACAAGAAACACCACGACAGAUCAAGGAAAUUGUUAGUGAUGGAAUCCAAAUGUCAGGCAUGUAAGUUUCACUAUAACAUUUGUUCCACUUUGCUGCAUGUUUUUAAUUAUUCAUAAUAAAUUAUUAUAAAAGUAAAAUUACAAGUAGGUAUUUUGGGCAUUCAACCUGUAGAAACCAGGUUCACAACAUUAGGAGGACACAGACAAUGACCUUGCAAGGUCCCACUUGCAAAAAAACACAUCCAUGCCUGUUCCUGCUCCCCACAGGUGUCCACAGGCGACACACCAGGUGACAUGGCUGCCUCAGGGAAGCAGAAGAUGCAGGACUUCCCUAUCGUGGCACAGGACUGAGGGCUGUGGAGUCAGUCUCUACGUAAACACAUUCAGCUCUCUGAGUUCAAACCAAGUCAGAAAAUGGGCAGAGCCACUGCUUUUAUUAGCUCCAAAUGAAUCUGGCAAGGGAUGCUGGGACUGACAAAGCAGGCGCUCAACCCUGUCACGCACUCCAGGUAGCCCUGCCAGCAGGCUGAUGAAUUCUCUUCUUCUGACAGGUGACAAAGGGCAGUGGUUACAGGUCUGGGCUCAGGGUCGCGUAUCUGAGGUUUGCAUUCUGGCUGCGAAUUAUGAGCUUGGUGACCUUGGGCAACUUCCUUCAUUUCUCUAAGGCUUGGGUGCAUCAUCUAUAAAUGAGUAGCUGCCUCCUGGGGCUAUUGGGAAGAAUAAAUUCAACCGGUGGUUCUGAAUCGGAGUGAUUUUGUCCCCCAAGAGACAUUUGGAAAUAUCUGGAGACAUAGUU
RNAcentral lists this long non-coding RNA (2522 nucleotides) under Homo sapiens (human). Its description in RNAcentral is "HSALNT0235682". The record is from RNAcentral. Lineage: Eukaryota; Metazoa; Chordata; Mammalia; Primates; Hominidae.